Molecule: long non-coding RNA, 1192 nt
Filed under: Monodelphis domestica (gray short-tailed opossum)
Lineage: Eukaryota; Metazoa; Chordata; Mammalia; Didelphimorphia; Didelphidae
Description: lncRNA (ENSMODG00000032788.2)
Source: RNAcentral
AAAUGAGCUUCCGUCCUGGAGAGUCAUUGGCAACAGACUUGGGACCAGCACUGGGACUUCUGUAGGAGACACAGCCCUAGUGACUCAAACACUUUGGGAAAUAGGCCAAAAUUAAGAGAGGAUCAUUAAUAAAACAGUGUCAAACAGGGCAGGACGGGCAAUCAGAUGGCAGGGAGCAUGGACAGAAAAGGGUCAGGAAAGAAUGUGCUAAUGUUCAUAUAUCACUUUUCUGAACAAGAUAAUCUUUUCAUUGUUUGUUGAAAAUGAUGAAUGGGGUGAAAGGGGCAAGUUAGUGUGGUGGAGAUUGAAAAAAGGAAAGAAAGAUUAAGAAAGAGAGGAAUAGAGAAAGUGAGGGAAAAAGCAAAGGAAAGGAGGGAAAGAAAGAGAAGUCAAGAAAGGAAGAAAGGAAGAGAAAAAAUAAAAGAGAAAGACAGAAAAGAUCAAUAAAAUUUAAAUAUUUAGGAGAAAAAAGUUCAGAAGGGUACACACACAAAGAGGGUAAUUUUGUUACUACUUUGUUCAAUUUAAUGUACAGUAAAAAGCUGUACAUGACAGAAAUUCAUGCAUUCAUUGACAAUUGUCUUAUCUUUGAAUAUGAAAAUGUUUGUGUUUAUUGAUGAUUAUUAAAUCAUCAUAAAGAAGAAAAUGAAGAAGUCACCUUCCUGCACAGCAAGGGGUAAAAAAGUGGGAGAGUGAAUGAAAUUUGCCAAAGACCUAAAUUAUAAUGAUCAGGGUCCCUCACAAACAGGUCAAUUACUCCAGUCACCCUUUGGAUGGCGCAAAGGCACCCAAGUCUGUCAUUUCCUAUUAUUAGUUAUAAUAACAGUGAUUAAAAUUUUCUCUUUUGUCACCACUUUUUCCCUCCUGAAGGAUCCUGAGCACAGUUUGCAAAUUGUGGAGGGGAAAGUCAAACAUCAUUCUGCAUCCAACCCAGUGGAGUAUGCAGGAAAACCACAUUCCUGUCUCUAGACCCAUCAGUGUUCAACAGGCCAUACUUUUCCUCCUGAAUCCUUAUUGUCCACUGAGAUUCUUGCUUUGGUACUCACCAGGUCACCAUUUUUGCUAGUUCUCCUUGGCCACUUGUACAGAGAUCUUCUCCAGGGUUCUGAAAAGAGGAGUGUAUUCUGUCCCCUGUGAGUGAUUCACAGAGUGUUCUAUGUUGACACAUUUUGCACAGGCUGUAAAAAGCUCU